CCCGAGAUGUUGCUGAACUACAACUCCCAUGAUUCUCUGGCUAUCUACGUAAUUCAAAGAAUCAUGGGAGUUGUAGUUCAGCAAUAUCUGGGG
This 93-nucleotide microRNA precursor is filed under the name Pelobates cultripes (western spadefoot toad). Lineage: Eukaryota; Metazoa; Chordata; Amphibia; Anura; Pelobatidae. The record is from RNAcentral.